This 1000-nucleotide ribosomal RNA is filed under the name Limosilactobacillus fermentum. RNAcentral's name for it is "bacterial SSU rRNA". It matches the Rfam family "Bacterial small subunit ribosomal RNA", at positions 84 to 1068 of the family's 1533-position model. Lineage: Bacteria; Bacillati; Bacillota; Bacilli; Lactobacillales; Lactobacillaceae. The record is from RNAcentral.
GUCGCCAACGAGUGGCGGACGGGUGAGUAACACGUAGGUAACCUGCCCAGAAGCGGGGGACAACAUUUGGAAACAGAUGCUAAUACCGCAUAACARCGUUGUUCGCAUGAACAACGCUAAAAAGAUGGCUUCUCGCUAUCACUUCUGGAUGGACCUGCGGUGCAUUAGCUUGUUGGUGGGGUAAYGGCCUACCAAGGCGAUGAUGCAUAGCCGAGUUGAGAGACUGAUCGGCCACAAUGGGACUGAGACACGGCCCAUACUCCUACGGGAGGCAGCAGUAGGGAAUCUUCCACAAUGGGCGCAAGCCUGAUGGAGCAACACCGCGUGAGUGAAGAAGGGUUUCGGCUCGUAAAGCUCUGUUGUUAAAGAAGAACACGUAUGAGAGUAACUGUUCAUACGUUGACGGUAUUUAACCAGAAAGUCACGGCUAACUACGUGCCAGCAGCCGCGGUAAUACGUAGGUGGCAAGCGUUAUCCGGAUUUAUUGGGCGUAAAGAGAGUGCAGGCGGUUUUCUAAGUCUGAUGUGAAAGCCUUCGGCUUAACCGGAGAAGUGCAUCGGAAACUGGAUAACUUGAGUGCAGAAGAGGGUAGUGGAACUCCAUGUGUAGCGGUGGAAUGCGUAGAUAUAUGGAAGAACACCAGUGGCGAAGGCGGCUACCUGGUCUGCAACUGACGCUGAGACUCGAAAGCAUGGGUAGCGAACAGGAUUAGAUACCCUGGUAGUCCAUGCCGUAAACGAUGAGUGCUAGGUGUUGGAGGGUUUCCGCCCUUCAGUGCCGGAGCUAACGCAUUAAGCACUCCGCCUGGGGAGUACGACCGCAAGGUUGAAACUCAAAGGAAUUGACGGGGGCCCGCACAAGCGGUGGAGCAUGUGGUUUAAUUCGAAGCUACGCGAAGAACCUUACCAGGUCUUGACAUCUUGCGCCAACCCUAGAGAUAGGGCGUUUCCUUCGGGAACGCAAUGACAGGUGGUGCAUGGUCGUCGUCAGCUCGUGUCGU